Molecule: non-coding RNA, 462 nt
Organism: Oryctolagus cuniculus (rabbit)
Lineage: Eukaryota; Metazoa; Chordata; Mammalia; Lagomorpha; Leporidae
Source: RefSeq, a predicted model, not a curated record
GGAAAGACAGGUUUUAUCUCAGCACCUGUCUGCAAUUUUCCUUGGCGCACACCCAGGGUGGAAGUGCACUCACAGGCUUUGGCACCGCCAGGACUGUUCUCCAGAGAGGCAGCACCGUUUGCACCCCUGCGGUAGUGUGUGAGGUUCCAGUCUCCCCACACAGCAGUGUACACCCCUGCAGUAGUGUGAGGGUCCAGUCUCCCCACACAGCAGUGUACACCCCUGCGGUAGUGUGUGAGGUCCACUCUCCCCACACAGCAGUGUACACCCCUGCAGUAGUGUGUGAGGUCCACUCUCCCCACACAGCAGUGUACACCCCUGCAGUAGUGUGUGAGGUCCAGUCUCUCCACACAGCAGUGUACACCCCUGCAGUAGUGUGUGAGGUCCAGUCUCUCCACACAGCAGUGUACGCCCCUGCAGUAGUGUGUGAGGUCCACUCUCCCCUCACCUUGCCCAUCACCU